Molecule: ribosomal RNA, 253 nt
Filed under: uncultured bacterium
Lineage: Bacteria
Description: partial 16S ribosomal RNA
Rfam family: Bacterial small subunit ribosomal RNA
Source: RNAcentral
UACGUAGGGUGCAAGCGUUGUCCGGAUUUACUGGGCGUAAAGAGCGUGUAGGCGGCCAUGCAGGUCCGUUGUGAAAACUGGAGGCUUAACCUCCAGACGUCGACGGAAACCGCGUGGCUAGAGUCCGGAAGAGGAGAGUGGAAUUCCUGGUGUAGCGGUGAAAUGCGCAGAUAUCAGGAAGAACACCAAUGGCGAAGGCAGCUCUCUGGGACGGUACUGACGCUGAGACGCGAAAGCGUGGGGAGCGAACAGG